This 244-nucleotide ribosomal RNA is filed under the name uncultured bacterium. RNAcentral describes it as "partial 16S ribosomal RNA". It matches the Rfam family "Bacterial small subunit ribosomal RNA", at positions 15 to 247 of the family's 1533-position model. The record is from RNAcentral.
GAUCCUGGCUCAGGAUGAACGCUAGCGACAGGCCUAACACAUGCAAGUCGAGGGGCAGCGGGGAGGUAGCAAUACCUUUUGCCGGCGACCGGCGCACGGGUGAGUAACACGUAUGCAAUCCACCUGUAACAGGGGGAUAACCCGGAGAAAUCCGGACUAAUACCCCAUAAUAUGGGCGCUCCGCAUGGAGAGUUCAUUAAAGAGAGCAAUUUUGGUUACAGACGAGCAUGCGCUCCAUUAGCCG